GCGCAGCAGUCGAGAAAACUUCACAAUGUGCGAAGGCACGAUGAGGGAAUCCCAAGUGCUUGCACGUAAGUGUAAGCUGUUUCUCUGUCUAAAACGCAGAGAGAGUAAGGGCUGGGUAAGACGGGUGCCAGCCGCCGCGGUAAUACCUGCAGCUCGAGUGGUGACCGUUAUUAUUGGGGCCUAAAACGUCCGUAGCCGGUUUAAUAAAUGCCUGGGUAAAUCGGACCGCUUAACGGUUCGAAUUCCGGGUAGACUGUUAAACUUGAGACCGGGAGAAGUUAGAGGUACUCCUGGGGUAGAGGUGAAAUUCUGUAAUCCUAGGGGGACCACCAGUGGCGAAGGCGUCUAACUAGAACGGGUCUGACGGUGAGGGACGAAGCCCUGGGGCGCAAACGGGAUUAGAUACCCCUGUAGU
Molecule: ribosomal RNA, 415 nt
Filed under: uncultured microorganism
Description: bacterial SSU rRNA
Rfam family: Archaeal small subunit ribosomal RNA
Source: RNAcentral